AUAAUGUAAUUCAGAGGAGUGGGAGAAAGUGAGGGGUAAUCGAUUAAGGUUUCGGGUUAGCUUUGUUUUUUGAAUCUGGACCAUCCAUCAAUCAUUUGAGUUUGACAAUAUAGGAGCUGGCUUGGGAGAUUCAAUAAUGCAAUUCAGAUGAAUGGGAGAAAGUGAGGGGUAAUCGAUUAAGGUUUUGGAUUAGCUUUGUUUUCUGAAUCUGGACCAUCCAUCUUGAAUGGAUGGUCCAAAUUCUUUAAUUUUUAUUGUAUGAUGAUGUAUAAACUUAUCAAUUUAAGGCAAGAUUUGAAUUUUUGGCUGAAACUGGUUGGCUUCAGUUGUGAUCGGAUCUAAUCCCUAAUUUCUGGUUUUGGUCAAUUUUGGAGGUUUCGGCCAGUUCUGUUUAAAUUGAUCAAAACUAAUUAUAUAUACUUAUUUUGAAUGUUAUUCUGAUGUUUAUAAAACUAGGGUCAUUACUUUAUUUACUUUAGUCAUUCAAUAUUAAUUUCAAUCAUUCUUCUUUCUUUUCCUUGAGUUAAAAGAGGAGAUGGAUAGUGAUUUUUGGUAUAUAAACAUUAAAAGGCUAAGGUCUUCACAGAGGCUCCUAUUAUAACACACUAUGAUAACUAAUGCAAACAACUAAAUACAAGACACUUCAAAGAUAAAAUAUCUUUUCUGUAUAAAACACACAUAAUAUUAUAUAACUACAUCCAUUUUAUUGAAUAGCCACUUAACCUCAAAAUGUGAAAAUUAAACAUAUUUGUCAAUUCUACUAGAAAAUGACGAAAAAAUGAAUUCACUUUACACUAAAAAGUUUCAAAGUUGCCAGAUAUACUGGAUUUUCAAACAACAAAAGUAUAAUAAGUAAAGGAUACAUAUUUGUUUGUAGUAAAAAAUACCUGUAUAUUUCACUUACGUUCGAUAUUAAUUUGAGGCCAAAAUUUUUGAAACUCCAUAACAAAAGCAACUAUAGAACACAAAACAUUCUUAAAUUUUUAACUAACAACUUUUCUUAACUUCUUCUGUUUCUUCCCUUUUUUAAAUUGAUGGAAUUUUUCUUGAUUUGUUUGACCAAACUUCAAAACUUGGGCCAAAACUGUCAAAUUUGCUGAAACCAAAACUCCACUGACCUGGCCAAUUCCAAAGCCAAAACUGAAUUUUCAAACCUUGAUCUGAGGGAAAAUAGGUUUCGAGCUCGGCUCGAGCUCGGCUCAAGCCCAACUUGAAUUUAGUUUAUGCUACAUGAUCAGGCUCAGUUAGGGCCAGAGGCCAUUUUUCUUCAGAGACAGCCUUGGCCCAACCUGAAGCUAGCCUGACCCUAGUGGAAAUAAUUUGGCCCUAGCCUAUUACCUGCCCUCCAUGUAGAUCAUGAAUGGUGUGGAUCAGCCAUUUGGAUGUCACAUUAUGCAUCUUGUUCCAAGUAUCAAUAUAGGAUUUUUUUAAUUGCAUGGUUUAUCUAAACUCUUCGCUGAUAAUAGCAAGUAGACAUUUUGAGUGCAAUGUCUCCAAGAAUAUCCGAUCUUGAAUCCCUAUAUUUCUUGUUUAACAAGAAUGAUUUAUAGAGGGAGGGAGGGAGGGAGGGAGAGAGAGAGAGAGAGAGAGUUGGUGAAUAUUUUGUUAUAGGUAAAAAGAACACGAUGCUAAAUAAUAACAUAACCAAUAAGGGGAUGAAUUGAAGAGCAAAGAAUGCUGAGGCGGAAAAUUUGAACACAAAAAGGAUGGGCACGUAAUUAGUUUCUUUUCUUCUGAUAAGUAGCCAUCUUAUUCUCUGUUAGAACUAUACCAGUAAUAUUUUCCCUUUUUCCACACAGCCAAGGACUUUGCUUUUUUCUUCUUAGUUUUAGCUUCAUUGCAAUGCCAUUUUGCUGUCAUCAGGACAUCAUCCAAUAGUUUUUGUGGCAACUAUUCAUCCUUCAUGGCAAUUUGGACCAAUAAAAUAUGCAUGCUUCUAUUUAUUUUGUCGAUUUAGUUGACUUUAACUAUCCAGUUUGGAUGGGAUUGGAGGCAACCAAGAUAUACUUCUUCAUGCUUUAUGGAAUUUGCCAUUCGAAUACUGACAUCUCAGGCUGGUUGCCAUGCUUCCUAUGUGGGAGCAAAAGGACUUUUAGAUGGUUGACCAUUUAUAGAAAAUCUAGAAGACUUGAUCUUUCAGUAGUGCUUUUUCUUUUUUCCAAGUAUGUAGUAUGUGUACUUGUGACAAUGAUUUGUAUCCUAGAGUGCACCUCCGUGGCCCUUCCAGAUAGCAUUGGCUGUUCAGGCAUGCAUUUUAUUGUUCAGCAUAUUCAUAUUUGAUGUUGCACAAGAAUGUCGAUAUUGUCAUUUUGCUUAAGCUCAAUAUCACUCCUACACAUCUCUCUGUAACUUGUUCCAACAUAAAUAAACAGCUACAUCUUGCAAAAUUGUAGCGGUCAUGUUUUCUCCUAUGUAAUCUUUUGUUUCUGUCAUUUGCAGGCAAACAGUGGACCAAAUACUAAUGGCUGUCAGGUAAUUCUCAGAGUCUGGCGAAAGAAUUGAAUAGAAUCAUUGUAUGACAUCCUUGAAUGUAUAGGAUAGAGGGGGAAAAAGGUAGAUGAUGUAGAACACAACCUGUAUUUCUACGGAGAGUGAACUUUGUCUUUAUGUAGACAGAUGGUUUAUGCCUUUUUUCAAAAAAGUUAGUUCAGAAAUUAUAUCCAUGAUUGCAGUUUGAGCAAAGGACAUUAAUGGAAUUUAUGUCUGCUUCUCACUUGGUCUAAUCCCAUUUCUGUUUGCCUGCAGUUCUUUAUAACAUGUGCAAAAUGUGACUGGCUAGAUAAUAAACAUGUGGUUUUUGGGGUAAGUUCUUCUAGUCCCAUCUAUUUCAUUAAGUAGAAUAUAGUGAUUCAACAAUGGCCCAUUAAUACACACACAAAUAUAUAUAUAUAUAUAUGUGUGCAUAUACAUAUAUUCACAUACAUACAUACACACGCGCACACACACGUGUGUGUGUGUAUACAUACAUACAUACAUGCAUAUAUGUAUGGAUGUAUAUAUAUGUGUGUGUGUACACGUGUGCGCGCGUGCACUCAUCUAUGAGCCCUGCCAAGGCUAUCAAAAUUUUGGUUUGAUUUUGGAAGAAGGCUCUCCUCAUGGGAAGCCUGUCUCUAGUGGUUCAUGCGGUGGUCAUUACUUAUCAGCUUCAUGAUGUUCCUCUCUGAUGGGCUUGACUUGCCCUAUAUAAAGUUCUAAGUUGUUGUCUUUGUUGCAAAAUUUCAAUUAUGCAUUUCUAUGUUUAAGCACGUUUAAAUUACUUUUUCACUUCUGUUCUUUUCCUUCUCUCUUUCCCUUUUAUCUUAACUGCAGAGGGUGCUGGGAGAAGGCCUUCUGGUUGUCAGGAAGAUUGAAAAUGUUGCUACUGGACCAAACAAUCGGCCAAAGCUCGCAUGCGUUAUAGCUGAAUCUGGUGAGAUGUAAUGAGACAUCGAGCAUAUAGCUUCCAUUGUCUGGAUCUUCUAGGAGGAUUUCUAUAGGCUUAUUGAUAUGAAGAGUUUUUUAGUCUAGAAGGGAAGUAUGUUUAUUUCCAUCUGAAACUAGCAAAAUUUAUGUCUGCAAAGGCACCAAGCCAUGAAUCAACAGAAUGCAAUAGUGCAUUGAAGAGCCUUUGCUCCUGCAACUUGUACCUUUUAAAUGGAAAUAUAAUCAGAUUCUUGGGGUGUUCAAUGCUGGCAAUAUAUUUUUCUUUUAGUUUGUGUUUUUCAAUCGCAUAACUAUUAAUGGCAGGGUAAUCAUAAUACAUACUGCACCAAAUGACUAUUUGAUAAUAACCUCGGUUUGAUUUACCUUCUUCUAGUCUCAUGUGACAGACCAAACUUUCUGCUUGCCAUUCACAAAGAUAAGAAGUAAAAUUCCUGCUCCUGCUCCUCGUUCUCCUCCUUUUUCCUUCCUCUAAUUCCUCAUCUUCUUCUUUUCUCCUGCUUCCUCAUCUUCUUCCUCUUCCUCUUCAUCCUCUUCUUCUGCUUCUUUUUCUUCUCCUCCUUCAUUGUCUUCUUUGCCUUCUCCUUUAUCCUCAUCUUCUUCUUCCUUUCCUUCUUUCUUCUUCUUCUUCAUUUUUCUCCUCCUCCUCCUCUUCUGCUGCUCCUUUGUCAUCAUCUUCUUCUUCUCCAUCAUCUUCCUCCUCUCCUCUUUCUUCUGCUUCCUCCUCCUCCUCUUCUCCUCCUUCCUCCUCCUCCUCGUCCUUUAUCAGGAGCAAAAUAAAGAACAAACAUUGAUAAAAAGAUAAACUUCAUCACUCCCCUGUGCCAUGUCGAAGACUACCAGUCUAGCAUUUUGCUCAAGUUUGGCAACUCUAGAUGAUGAUUGAGACUGCUAAGUUGAGCAUAAUUUUUGGUGAAGAUGCAAGUAGCUAGCUUGAGGAGCAAUUUUGAAUGGUUUACAAGAGUGAAACAGAAUCCAGAUUGCAGGUGCCAGGUGGCAAUCGCCAAGAGGAAGGUAAGGUGGCCAGUGCUGGCAGAAGACGAUGUAUUGAUUUGAUCCCAAUAUGUGGCUGCAAUAUGCCUUCCUACUACGUAAGCUCCAUUAUGAGCUUUUUGUGAACAAGAAGCCGUGUUACGAAUCAUCGAAUUCAUGCAGACCGAGCCAUGAGGCACCAAAUACGUCCGAUGACGCCAAAAAUGUCAAAAAGAGCCGAGCUCCUCCUCCAACGCCAUCGCCCGUUGUCCCAUACCACCCGUGUACCUAAGAUCCAGUCGCACUCGGCGCAACACCAAGGACCCUCUCAAAUUUGUAAAAUCACACUAUCCAAUAUGCAUGCAAAACUAAAUGCGAGCGCUCUGUCAAAGCGUCAGUUUCAUUCCGAAACCAAUGGCGAGUUCUAACGAGCCAACAAAGAAUAUGGUACGAACUAUUACCAAUAGUGGCACUCUAUAUGAGAUUUAAUCCUCUUUCAAAUCUUUGAAAUUGCACCCACAACAUUAAUGCAAAAUUCCUGCUCAUUGCUGAUGCAAAACGGCAAACUAAUGGCGAGUUAUAUAAAGGUAUAUAACAAAGAAUUUAGUAGGAAAUAAAAUAAACCAUGCAUUACUAUUACCGAUAGCAGCACCCUGUAGGUGAUUUUGGGGGAGCUGCUGACAGUAGAGCUUUCUGAAGUAGAGCUUUGAUAAAAAGUUGUUUGCUGUUUGGUAACUACAUUUAUAAAGUGUUGUGACACUUUAACAUAUAUUUGGUAAAUAAACUGAGAAAGUACUUUUAGUAUGACAAAAUGACUAUAAAAAAUAUUGCAUAGUAUUAUCUAUUUUUUUAAAAAAAAGUACAAGCGGUGGGCAAUUUAGUAUUGAGCAUCAAAAGAAAAAAAAAGUUAUGGUAAAUGCAAUUGAUCUUUUAUCAACUGGCAGCAGAAAAGCUGUAAUUGAAUAUCAAUGCACCAACUAGUGCUUAUGGAAAUAGAUAAAAUACAUAGUGACAUGUAGUUAUCCAAAGACCACUCAUCAUACAUGGAGGAAAAGGCGCAGCAAAUUUAUAACGGCACAGACGGAUUAUAGACUAUAGAGUGCCUCAAUAGCACCAAAUGGUGUGGGAUAUACAUCCAUCAACUAGUGGGUCAUAUUUAUCAAUUUCAAAGUUAAUAUGGUAGCUUGUUAGUCAAUAAAUCAAAAAAUUCUUUAUUAAACUAGAAACGAUAUUGAGAGUCAGAAAUAGCCCAAGCCUUACCAAGUAAUUGUUUUAGGAAAUCCCAAGACAAUUAGGCACCCUGAUCCGUGGUCAUACACAACCUCCAGUGUGAACCAUCCACGAACUUAUGGAUACCGUCACCUCGGCUGCCAACAAGAUCUGGGAAUUGAAAGGGAACUUAGACAGUAAACCAUCAGAAUUUCCUAAUUAGGAGGUAUGGCAGCAAUUUCUUACAAGAACAGCGACAACCUCCAAACACAA
RNAcentral lists this long non-coding RNA (5874 nucleotides) under Phoenix dactylifera (date palm). RNAcentral's name for it is "long non-coding RNA (PDAC_LNC001531)". Lineage: Eukaryota; Viridiplantae; Streptophyta; Magnoliopsida; Arecales; Arecaceae. The record is from RNAcentral.